GAGAUCACUCAGCGGCCGCAAGACGCUCUGACUUUUAAUCAGAGAGUCCUGGGUUCGAGUCCCAGCGCGCUCACCA
This 76-nucleotide transfer RNA is filed under the name Microvirga terrae. RNAcentral's name for it is "Microvirga sp. R24 tRNA-Lys". The record is from RNAcentral. Lineage: Bacteria; Pseudomonadati; Pseudomonadota; Alphaproteobacteria; Hyphomicrobiales; Methylobacteriaceae.